AGCGGCCCCCGGUGCAGCCCAUGGCUUGCGAGACCUGUGGGAGCGCGCUGAUCCGAGGGACGCCCCCUGCCGGCCUCGGGAAGGAGCGAAACAGGCCAAAAGCACAAGUUAAAAUCAUGGGCUGUAAUCAGCAGAAUCAAGAAAGUGCCCAUUCCAUCUACAGAAUGGCGGGGAAGAAAGGAGGAGGUGGGAGCUCCGGCACAUUCAUGUUUGUCCCCCAGAAGUUCAUGUGGGGGCACAAAUGGAAGGUGACUAGAUUACAGGGCUCCGCCCUUGUGAAUGGAUCCAUGCUGUUUCUUGGGAGUGGACCAGGUCUCACAAGAGGGGAUUAGAUCCUGUGAGUGCAAGCUGUUAUAAAAGAGCAAGCCUAGCCUCUCUCCAUUCUGUUGCUUCCUGUCUCACCCUGUGACAUCUCUUUGGAAUGUCUUCCACUGUGAUAUAACAACAGGCGCCACCAGGGGCCAAACAAAGGAGUUUUCGGUCUCUGAAAUGGAUCUUUUCUUUAUAAAGGACACAAACUCAGGUGUUUUGUUAUGGCAACACAAAGUGGACUAAGAUUCUAGAGUUGUCAAAUUCAUAAAGAUGGAAAAUAGAAUGGUGGUUGCCAAGGGCUGGGGCUGGGGCUGGGGGUAGGGAAGGGAAGUGGGAGGUGUUAGUGGGUAAGGAGUUUCAGUGUGGGAAAAUAAAAAGUCGUGGAGAGGGAUGGGUGAUGGCUACACAAGAAUGUGUAUAUACUUAAUGCCACUGAACUAUCACUUUACAAUGCUGAAAAUGGUGAAUUCUUGUGUGUAUUUCACUACAGCAAAUUUUAAAAGGAGAGAGAUUUAGAACAUCCAUACACUCAAUGCAGUGCUUGGAUUUUGGGCCCUGAUUCGAACAAAUCAAUACAUCAAUCGAACAAAUCAAUUUUAAAAACAUAGUAUAUAAGGUAAAAUGUUGAAUAUGGGAUUGGAGAUUUAUAGAUUGUCAAAGUCUUAAUUGUAAUUCUGUUAUUGUAGUAAUUUAUAAAGAGUUCUUAUCUUUUAGAAAUACAUUCUGUAAUAUUUACAACUGAAAUUAAAUAUUUAAAAUUUUCUUUAAAAAUAAUCUACUCUUGGCCUGGGAUGGAGCUCAGUGGUAGAGUGUUUGCUAGCACGUGUGAGGCUCUGGGUUUAAUCCUCAGGACUGUACACACCAUAAGGAUUGUUCAGCACAGUGACACAUACCUUGGGAGCCUGGGGCAGGAUGAUUGCAAGUUUGAGGCCAGCCUGGGCAACUAAGCGAGACUCUGCCUCAAAAUAAAAAAGUCUAGGAGUGUAGCUCACUGACAGAGUGCUUGUCUAGUAUGCAUGAAGCCCUGGGUUCAAUCAUCAGGACUGAAAGAAAAAAAAAAUCUAACCUGUUGGAUAGAGACGUAGAUGAAAGAAGAUUGGCCAAGUGGGAUUGUCAAAGCUGGCCAAAGGAUACAUGGGAUUCACUUCACAUUUGUAUGCUUGAAAUUUUCCAAAAUAAAAAGCUUUCUAAAAGCUAGACCCCUAUGUAUAAAGAUCCCCUCUGGCCAUCUCUAAGGCGCCCAUCAUCCCUGCGCUGGUUUACUGCAAGGCUCUCCUAAAGGCCUCCCUGUCUGCCAACCCCCCAACCCUCACACCCUGGUCUCCCGGACUCCCCUUCCUACUAUUGCAAUGGGUCAACCUGAGGGAUGCUGUUAAAGCCUCAUGGUACCUCUGCUUGGAAACUUCCGGUUCCUGUAUGGUUCAGGUUUCGGAGAGUAAUCAGCAAUGCAAGAGCGCUGAGAGAUGAUUAGGGCAUGAGGUCUUUGCCCUCAAGAGUGGACUCAUGGAUUAUUCCAGGAGUGGGAUCCUGAGAGGAAGAAGAGUUUGCCCCUCACCCACACCCCACCUCCUGCCAUGGGUGAUAUAGCAAGAAGGCCCUCCCCAGAUGUGGGCUCCUUGAUCUUGGAGUUCCCAGCCUCCAGGACUAUAGGAAAUAAAUCUGUUCUCCAUGAAUUACUAUUCCUGGUAUUCUGUUAUACAGCACAAAAUGGACCAAGAUGACUCCUCAUCUCCAGACGGAACAGUAGCCUAAGGAGUCCUGUGUGGGGCACUGACAGCCCACACCCUUCUGACCUCCUCUCCAGCACCUCCCUGCCCACUCCUUCCAGCCACACC
Molecule: long non-coding RNA, 2147 nt
Filed under: Ictidomys tridecemlineatus (thirteen-lined ground squirrel)
Lineage: Eukaryota; Metazoa; Chordata; Mammalia; Rodentia; Sciuridae
Description: lncRNA (ENSSTOG00000032437.1)
Source: RNAcentral